This 63-nucleotide transfer RNA is filed under the name Pantoea ananatis. Its description in RNAcentral is "tRNA-Arg". It matches the Rfam family "tRNA", at positions 6 to 65 of the family's 71-position model. Rfam says of the family: Transfer RNA (tRNA) molecules are approximately 80 nucleotides in length. Their secondary structure includes four short double-helical elements and three loops (D, anti-codon, and T loops). The record is from RNAcentral. RNAcentral also lists the same sequence under 19 other names. Lineage: Bacteria; Pseudomonadati; Pseudomonadota; Gammaproteobacteria; Enterobacterales; Erwiniaceae.
CGUAGCUCAGCUGGAUAGAGUACUCGGCUACGAACCGAGCGGUCGGAGGUUCGAAUCCUCCCG